Molecule: ribosomal RNA, 301 nt
Filed under: uncultured bacterium
Lineage: Bacteria
Description: partial 16S ribosomal RNA
Rfam family: Bacterial small subunit ribosomal RNA
Source: RNAcentral
CAGCCGCCACGGUAAUACGUAGGUCCCGAGCGUUGUCCGGAUUUAUUGGGCGUAAAGGGAGUGUAGGCGGUCUUUUAAGUCUGAUGUGAAAGCCCACGGCUCAACCGUGGAGGGUCAUUGGAAACUGGGAGACUUGAGUGCAGAAGAGGAGAGCGGAAUUCCAUGUGUAGCGGUGAAAUGCGUAGAUAUAUGGAGGAACACCAGUGGCGAAGGCGGCUCUCUGGUCUGUAACUGACGCUGAGGCUCGAAAGCGUGGGGAGCAAACAGGAUUAGAUACCCCAGUAGUCCCUGUCUCUUAUAC